RNAcentral lists this ribosomal RNA (505 nucleotides) under uncultured bacterium. RNAcentral describes it as "partial 16S ribosomal RNA". It matches the Rfam family "Bacterial small subunit ribosomal RNA", at positions 28 to 507 of the family's 1533-position model. The record is from RNAcentral.
GACGAACGCUGGCGGCGUGCCUAAUACAUGCAAGUAGAACGCACAGUUUAUACCGUAGCUUGCUACACCAUAAACUGUGAGUUGCGAACGGGUGAGUAACGCGUAGGUAACCUGCCUGGUAGCGGGGGAUAACUAUUGGAAACGAUAGCUAAUACCGCAUAAUAUUGAUUAUUGCAUGAUAAUUGAUUGAAAGAUGCUAUUGCAUCACUACCAGAUGGACCUGCGUUGUAUUAGCUAGUAGGAGAGGUAACGGCUCACCUAGGCGACGAUACAUAGCCGACCUGGGAGGGUGAUCGGCCACACUGGGACUGAGACACGGCCCAGACUCCUACGGGAGGCAGCAGUAGGGAAUCUUUGGGAAUGGACGAAAGGCUGACCGAGCAACGCCGCGUGAGUGAAGAAGGUUUUCGGAUCGUAAAGCUCGGUUGUAAGAGAAGAACGGGUGUGAGAGUGGAAAGUUCACACUGUGACGGUAGCUUAUCAGAAAGGGACGGCUAACUACGUG